This 469-nucleotide ribosomal RNA is filed under the name Veillonella parvula. RNAcentral's name for it is "bacterial SSU rRNA". It matches the Rfam family "Bacterial small subunit ribosomal RNA", at positions 28 to 474 of the family's 1533-position model. The record is from RNAcentral. Lineage: Bacteria; Bacillati; Bacillota; Negativicutes; Veillonellales; Veillonellaceae.
GACGAACGCUGGCGGCGUGCUUAACACAUGCAAGUCGAACGAAGAGCGAUGGAAGCUUGCUUCUAUCAAUCUUAGUGGCGAACGGGUGAGUAACGCGUAAUCAACCUGCCCUUCAGAGGGGGACAACAGUUGGAAACGACUGCUAAUACCGCAUACGAUCUAAUCUCGGCAUCGAGGAUAGAUGAAAGGUGGCCUCUACAUGUAAGCUAUCACUGAAGGAGGGGAUUGCGUCUGAUUAGCUAGUUGGAGGGGUAACGGCCCACCAAGGCGAUGAUCAGUAGCCGGUCUGAGAGGAUGAACGGCCACAUUGGGACUGAGACACGGCCCAGACUCCUACGGGAGGCAGCAGUGGGGAAUCUUCCGCAAUGGACGAAAGUCUGACGGAGCAACGCCGCGUGAGUGAUGACGGCCUUCGGGUUGUAAAGCUCUGUUAAUCGGGACGAAAGGCCUUCUUGCGAAUAGUUAGAAG